This 497-nucleotide ribosomal RNA is filed under the name uncultured bacterium. RNAcentral describes it as "partial 16S ribosomal RNA". It matches the Rfam family "Bacterial small subunit ribosomal RNA", at positions 28 to 507 of the family's 1533-position model. The record is from RNAcentral.
GAUGAACGCUGGCGGCGUGCCUAAUACAUGCAAGUCGAGCGAACAGACGAGGAGCUUGCUCCUCUUACGUUAGCGGCGGACGGGUGAGUAACACGUGGAUAACCUACCUAUAAGACUGGGAUAACUUCGGGAAACCGGAGCUAAUCCCGGAUAAUAUCUUGAACCGCAUGGUUCAAUAGUGAAAGACGGUUUUGCUGUCACUUAUAGAUGGAUCCGCGCCGCAUUAGCUAGUUGUUAAGGUAACGGCUUACCACGGCGACGAUGCGUAGCCGACCUGAGAGGGGGAUCGGCAACACGGGAACGGAGACACGGUCAAGACUCCUACGGGAGGCAGCAGUAGGGAAUCUUCCGCAAUGGGCGAAAGCCUGACGGAGCAACGCCGCGUGAGUGAUGAAGGUCUUCGGAUCGUAAAACUCUGUUAUUAGGGAAGAACAAAUGUGUAAGUAACUAUGCACGUCGUGACGGUACCUAAUCAGAAAGCCACGGCUAACUACGUG